This is a long non-coding RNA of Ziziphus jujuba (common jujube), 685 nucleotides long. RefSeq lists it as uncharacterized. The record is from RefSeq and is a predicted model, not a curated record. NCBI's taxonomy places the organism in Eukaryota, Viridiplantae, Streptophyta, Magnoliopsida, Rosales, Rhamnaceae. The transcript has 2 exons.
CCGCUCACACCAGCUUACCUUCACCAUUUUUCGAACAGAUCUCAAAUAGCAUUCCUUCGACAAAUUUCGAACAAAUCUCAGCUCUUGGAGUUCAUCGAUCUAUGUUUUUCUUCUCUUCUCAAAUCUUUUAACAUCAACCUAUUCCGGUUGCUGCUAUUUUUUUUUCUGCUAAUGUUUUUUUUCUAUUAUUCCUGUAUUUUUAUUCUCAGGUUUUGGGUUAUAUAGCUUUUCUUUCUUGCCAAACAUGUCCUUUUGCUUGUAUAUAUCGCAAGGGAUUUUUAUUUUGGUUUUGAUUUUGACUCUUUGGUGCUUUUGUUUAUGUGGAUUUUUUAAGGUAAGGAAGAUGCAAAUCAGAUAAGGAAAGCUUGCAGCAAAGGAUCAUGCAAUGUAUUUCCAACAAAUGGUCUUUCUGAUAGUAUAAUCCCUCACAUCCUUAACAUAUAUUUGGUUCUUAAGAACAAGAUGAUCCUAUAUUAGUCAUAAGUAAAGAGUGUCAGAUGUCAAUGAAAAUAUUCACCCCAACCUAACACGAACAUAAUUCUUGCAUCUCUUACAGAUCAUAAUUGUAAGUUUAUUAUCUGGGUUUUCAUUUUUUCCUCUGUUGUUUGCCAUUGAUAUUGAGAUUCUGCUAUACACAUUGUCCAUAUCGUACAAAGUAAUGUAUUUAGUUAACUUUAAAUUGUUC